This 825-nucleotide ribosomal RNA is filed under the name uncultured bacterium. Its description in RNAcentral is "bacterial SSU rRNA". It matches the Rfam family "Bacterial small subunit ribosomal RNA", at positions 59 to 894 of the family's 1533-position model. The record is from RNAcentral.
CAGUCGAACGGAGUUACGAUGAAACCUAGUGAUUCGUAACUUAGUGGCGGACGGGUGAGUAACGCGUGGAUAACCUGCCUUACACUGGGGGAUAACACUUAGAAAUAGGUGCUAAUACCGCAUAAGCGCACGGAGCCGCAUGGCUUAGUGUGAAAAACUCCGGUGGUGUAAGAUGGAUCCGCGUCUGAUUAGCUGGUUGGCGGGGUAGAAGCCCACCAAGGCGACGAUCAGUAGCCGGCCUGAGAGGGUGAACGGCCACAUUGGGACUGAGACACGGCCCAAACUCCUACGGGAGGCAGCAGUGGGGAAUAUUGCACAAUGGGGGAAACCCUGAUGCAGCGACGCCGCGUGAGUGAAGAAGUCAUUCGUGAUGUAAAGCUCUAUCAGCAGGGAAGAAAAUGACGGUACCUGAGUAAGAAGCCCCGGCUAACUACGUGCCAGCAGCCGCGGUAAUACGUAGGGGGCAAGCGUUAUCCGGAUUUACUGGGUGUAAAGGGAGCGUAGACGGCCAGACAAGUCUGGAGUGAAAAUCCAGCGCUUAACGUUGGAAGUGCUUUGGAAACUGCCGGGCUAGAGUGCAGGAGGGGCAGGCGGAAUUCCUAGUGUAGCGGUGAAAUGCGUAGAUAUUAGGAGGAACACCAGUGGCGAAGGCGGCCUGCUGGACUGCAACUGACGUUGAGGCUCGAAGGCGUGGGGAGCAAACAGGAUUAGAUACCCUGGUAGUCCACGCGGUAAACGAUGAUUACUAGGUGUCGGGGGGCUAGAGCCCUUCGGUGCCGUCGCAAACGCAAUAAGUAAUCCACCUGGGGAGUACGUUCGCAAGAA